Molecule: ribosomal RNA, 468 nt
Filed under: uncultured bacterium
Lineage: Bacteria
Description: partial 16S ribosomal RNA
Rfam family: Bacterial small subunit ribosomal RNA
Source: RNAcentral
GACGAACGCUGGCGGCGUGCUUAACACAUGCAAGUCGAACGGGAAGGCCCUGCUUUUGUGGGGUGCUCGAGUGGCGAACGGGUGAGUAACACGUGAGUAACCUGCCCUUGACUUUGGGAUAACUUCAGGAAACUGGGGCUAAUACCGGAUAGGAGCUCCUGCUGCAUGGUGGGGGUUGGAAAGUUUCGGCGGUUGGGGAUGGACUCGCAGCUUAUCAGCUUGUUGGUGGGGUAGUGGCUUACCAAGGCUUUGACGGGUAGCCGGCCUGAGAGGGUGACCGGCAACAUUGGGACUGAGAUACGGCCCAGACUCCUACGGGAGGCAGCAGUGGGGAAUAUUGCACAAUGGGCGGAAGCCUGAUGCAGCAACGCCGCGUGCGGGAUGACGGCCUUCGGGUUGUAAACCGCUUUCGCCUGUGACGAAGCGUGAGUGACGGUAAUGGGUAAAGAAGCACCGGCUAACUACGUG